UGGGGAAUAUUGCACAAUGGGCGCAAGCCUGAUGCAGCCAUGCCGCGUGUAUGAAGAAGGCCUUCGGGUUGUAAAGUACUUUCAGUCAGGAGGAAGGGUGUGAAAUUAAUACUUUCAUGCAUUGACGUUACUGACAGAAGAAGCACCGGCUAACUCCGUGCCAGCAGCCGCGGUAAUACGGAGGGUGCAAGCGUUAAUCGGAAUUACUGGGCGUAAAGCGCACGCAGGCGGUUUGUUAAGUCAGAUGUGAAAUCCCCGGGCUCAACCUGGGAACUGCAUUUGAAACUGGCAAGCUUGAGUCUUGUAGAGGGGGGUAGAAUUCCAGGUGUAGCGGUGAAAUGCGUAGAGAUCUGGAGGAAUACCGGUGGCGAAGGCGGCCCCCUGGACAAAGACUGACGCU
RNAcentral lists this ribosomal RNA (400 nucleotides) under uncultured bacterium. RNAcentral's name for it is "bacterial SSU rRNA". It matches the Rfam family "Bacterial small subunit ribosomal RNA", at positions 355 to 747 of the family's 1533-position model. The record is from RNAcentral.